GAUGAACGCUGACAGAAUGCUUAACACAUGCAAGUCUACUUGAAUUUGGGUUUUUUCCCUUAGAUUUGGGUGGCGGACGGGUGAGUAACGCGUAAAGAACUUGCCUCACAGCUAGGGACAACAUUUGGAAACGAAUGCUAAUACCUGAUAUUAUGAUUAUAAGGCAUCUUAGAAUUAUGAAAGCUAUAUGCGCUGUGAGAGAGCUUUGCGUCCCAUUAGCUAGUUGGAGAGGUAACGGCUCACCAAGGCGAUGAUGGGUAGCCGGCCUGAGAGGGUGAACGGCCACAAGGGGACUGAGACACGGCCCUUACUCCUACGGGAGGCAGCGGUGGGGAAUAUUGGACAAUGGACCAAGAGUCUGAUCCAGCAAUUCUGUGUGCACGAUGACGUUUUUCGGAAUGUAAAGUGCUUUCAGUUGGGAAGAAAAAAAUGACGGUACCAACAGAAGAAGUGACGGCUAAAUACGUG
This 468-nucleotide ribosomal RNA is filed under the name uncultured bacterium. RNAcentral describes it as "partial 16S ribosomal RNA". It matches the Rfam family "Bacterial small subunit ribosomal RNA", at positions 28 to 507 of the family's 1533-position model. The record is from RNAcentral.